UACGUAGGGUGCGAGCGUUGCCCGGAAUUACUGGGCGUAAAGCGCGUGUAGGCGGCUGUGCAAGUCGGAUGUGAAAUCCCGUGGCUCAACCACGGAAGUGCACCCGAAACUGCGCAGCUGGAGUCUCGGAGAGGAAGGUGGAAUGCUUGGUGUAGAGGUGAAAUUCGUAGAUAUCAAGCGGAACACCGGUGGCGAAGGCGGCCUUCUGGACGAUGACUGACGCUGAGACGCGAAAGCGUGGGGAGCAAACAGG
This 253-nucleotide ribosomal RNA is filed under the name uncultured bacterium. RNAcentral's name for it is "partial 16S ribosomal RNA". It matches the Rfam family "Bacterial small subunit ribosomal RNA", at positions 524 to 776 of the family's 1533-position model. The record is from RNAcentral.